RNAcentral lists this ribosomal RNA (253 nucleotides) under uncultured bacterium. Its description in RNAcentral is "partial 16S ribosomal RNA". It matches the Rfam family "Bacterial small subunit ribosomal RNA", at positions 524 to 776 of the family's 1533-position model. The record is from RNAcentral.
UACAGAGGGGGCUAGCGUUAUUCGGAAUUAUUGGGCGUAAAGGGCGCGUAGGCGGCCAUGCGUGUCUUCCGUGAAAUCCCUCGGCUUAACUGAGGACGUGCGGAAGAAACUGCAAGGCUCGAGUCCGGGAGAGGGGGGUGGAAUUCCUGGUGUAGCGGUGAAAUGCGCAGAUAUCAGGAGGAACACCGGUGGCGAAGGCGGGUCUCUGGGCCGUAACUGACGCUGAGGCGCGAAAGCCAGGGGAGCAAACGGG